GAACGAGAAAGCGGGGGCAACUCCGUGAGUAAAGUGGCGUACGGGUGAGUAACACGUAGCUAACCUACCCUCGAGUGAGGAAUAACCUGGGGAAACUCGGGCUAAUACCCCAUAACAUCCCGAGCAAUCGGGAGCAAAGGUCCGCAAGGGCCGCUUGAGGAGGGGGCUGCGGCCGAUUAGCUAGUUGGUGAGGUAACGGCCCACCAAGGCGAUGAUCGGUAGCCGGCCUGAGAGGGCGCACGGCCACACUGGCACUGAAACACGGGCCAGACUCCUACGGGAGGCAGCAGUGGGGAAUUUUGCACAAUGCCCGAAAGGGUGAUGCAGCAACGCCGCGUGAGGGAUGAAGGUCUUCGGAUCGUAAACCUCUUUCGACCGGGAAAAAUGGGCGGGUGUAGAGCCCGUUCUGAUGGUACCGGUGGAAGAAGCCCCGGCUAACUACGUG
This 445-nucleotide ribosomal RNA is filed under the name uncultured bacterium. RNAcentral describes it as "bacterial SSU rRNA". It matches the Rfam family "Bacterial small subunit ribosomal RNA", at positions 64 to 507 of the family's 1533-position model. The record is from RNAcentral.